GUGUGAGAUCCUUUGGGUGUCCCUCCUCUCCAUGGCAUCAAGACCUUUUAGGUGUCUCUCUUACUGGUGUGAGGCAUCACACCAGAGCCCUUCUCUCUCCUCCCUUGUUGCCUUGUAAAGAUACUUUAAUCUGAGACUUCAUCCCACUUUCUUGCAAAGUUUGACGUACGCAAGAAAUAGAGGGUUUGUGGAUUCAGACCUAUGUGAGGCUUUGAAUUUAGAAUCUUUGAGAUUUGAUUCAAAUUUUACUGUAUAUUAAGUAAAAAUCUAAUUUUUAUUAAAUUAUUAUAAAAAAAUUUUAGAUGCAACCCUAGCUAUCCGCUGUAUUUUUCCUAAGAAACAUGUUUUUUUCCUUCAAUUGGUAUCAGAGCC
RNAcentral lists this long non-coding RNA (372 nucleotides) under Elaeis guineensis (African oil palm). RNAcentral describes it as "long non-coding RNA (EGUI_LNC032645)". Lineage: Eukaryota; Viridiplantae; Streptophyta; Magnoliopsida; Arecales; Arecaceae. The record is from RNAcentral.